CGAAGUAGGAUGUUGCGCGUUAAGUGCCGCAGGAUGGGAAGUUGUCUGCGGACGAAGGGCCUUUCGGCCCGCGGUGCCUCAUCCGCAUCCGUUG
Molecule: non-coding RNA, 94 nt
Filed under: bovine gut metagenome
Description: THF riboswitch
Rfam family: THF (Tetrahydrofolate) riboswitch aptamer
About the family: THF riboswitch presents a pseudoknot that joins P1-P2 and the loop of P3 and two THF binding.
Source: RNAcentral